Molecule: small RNA, 1571 nt
Filed under: Pan troglodytes (chimpanzee)
Lineage: Eukaryota; Metazoa; Chordata; Mammalia; Primates; Hominidae
Description: retained intron
Source: RNAcentral
ACAUGUCAAAGAGACACACACUAAAUUAGCAGGGAGUGUUAUAAAAGCUUUGGAGUGCAAGCUCACAGCUGUCUUAAUAAGAAGAGAAGGCUUCAAUGGAACCUUUUGUGGUCCUGGUGCUGUGUCUCUCUUUUAUGCUUCUCUUUUCACUCUGGAGACAGAGCUCUGGGAGAAGGAAGCUCCCUCCUGGCCCCACUCCUCUUCCUAUUAUUGGAAAUAUGCUACAGAUAGAUGUUAAGGACAUCUGCAAAUCUUUCAGCAAUGUAAGUAUGCCUUAAGUUCCUCCAGCCAAUUGCAAAGGUUCUCAAAAGUCUAUGGUCCUGUGUUCACCGUGUAUUUUGGCAUGAAUCCCAUAGUGGUGUUGCAUGGAUAUGAGGCAGUGAAGGAAGCCCUGAUUGAUAAUGGAGAGGAGUUUUCUGGAAGAGGCAGUUCCCCAAUAUCUCAAAGAAUUACUAAAGGACUUGGUAGGUGCACAUAUUUCUGUGUCAGCUUUGGUAAUUGGGGUGAGGGGGAUGGAAAACAGAGCCCUAAAAACUUCUCAGCAGAGCUUAGCCUAUCUGCAUGGCUGCCGAGUGUUGCAGCACUUUCUUCCUUGGCUGUGAAUUCUCCCAGUUUCUGCCCCUUUUUUUAUUAGGAAUCAUUUCCAGCAAUGGAAAGAGAUGGAAGGAGAUCCGGCGUUUCUCCCUCACAACCUUGCGGAAUUUUGGGAUGGGGAAGAGGAGCAUUGAGGACCGUGUUCAAGAGGAAGCUCACUGCCUUGUGGAGGAGUUAAGAAAAACCAAGGCCUCACCCUGUGAUCCCACUUUCAUCCUGGGCUGCGCUCCCUGCAAUGUGAUCUGCUCCGUUGUUUUCCAGAAACGAUUUGAUUAUAAAGAUCAGAAUUUUCUCACCCUGAUGAAAAGAUUCAAUGAAAACUUCAGGAUUCUGAACUCCCCAUGGAUCCAGGUCUGCAAUAAUUUCCCUCUACUCAUUGAUUGUUUCCCAGGAACUCACAACAAAGUGCUUACAAAUGUUGCUCUUACACAAAGUUACAUUAGGGAGAAAGUAAAAGAACACCAAGCAUCACUGGAUGUUAACAAUCCUCGGGACUUUAUCGAUUGCUUCCUGAUCAAAAUGGAGCAGGAAAAGGACAACCAAAAGUCAGAAUUCAAUAUUGAAAACUUGGUUGGCACUGUAGCUGAUCUAUUUGUUGCUGGAACAGAGACAACAAGCACCACUCUGAGAUAUGGACUCCUGCUCCUGCUGAUGCACCCGGAGGUCACAGCUAAAGUCCAGGAAGAGAUUGAUCAUGUAAUUGGCAGACACAGGACCCCCUGCAUGCAGGAUAGGAGCCACAUGCCUUACACUGAUGCUGUAGUGCACGAGAUCCAGAGAUACAGUGACCUUGUCCCCACCGGUGUGCCCCAUGCAGUGACCACUGAUACUAAGUUCAGAAACUACCUCAUCCCCAAGAGCUUUGAUAACAAGAUAAUGCUGGCUGCAUAAAACUAGGGCACAACCAUAAUGACAUUACUGACUUCCGUGCUACACGAUGACAAAGAAUUUCCUAAUCCAAAUAUCUUUGACCCUGG